This 74-nucleotide microRNA precursor is filed under the name Scleropages formosus (Asian bonytongue). RNAcentral's name for it is "mir-148/mir-152 microRNA precursor family". It matches the Rfam family "mir-148/mir-152 microRNA precursor family". Rfam says of the family: The hairpin precursors (represented here) are predicted based on base pairing and cross-species conservation -- their extents are not known. In this case the mature sequence is excised from the 3' arm of the hairpin. Lineage: Eukaryota; Metazoa; Chordata; Actinopteri; Osteoglossiformes; Osteoglossidae. The record is from Rfam by way of RNAcentral.
CAGUGCUGAAGUUCUGUGAUACACUUGGGCUCUGAGUCUGAGGCAGUCAGUGCAUAACAGAACUUUGGUACGGG